This 479-nucleotide ribosomal RNA is filed under the name Bacillus subtilis. RNAcentral's name for it is "bacterial SSU rRNA". It matches the Rfam family "Bacterial small subunit ribosomal RNA", at positions 50 to 514 of the family's 1533-position model. Lineage: Bacteria; Bacillati; Bacillota; Bacilli; Caryophanales; Bacillaceae. The record is from RNAcentral.
AAUACAUGMAGUCGAGCGGMAGAUGGGAGCUUGCUCCUGAUGUUAGCGGCGGACGGGUGAGUAACACGUGGGUAACCUGCCUGUAAGACUGGGAUAACUCCGGGAAACCGGGGCUAAUACCGGAUGGUUGUUUGAACCGCAUGGUUCAAACAUAAAAGGUGGCUUCGGCUACCACUUACAGAUGGACCCGCGGCGCAUUAGCUAGUUGGUGAGGUAAYGGCUCACCAAGGCAACGAUGCGUAGCCGACCUGAGAGGGUGAUCGGCCACACUGGGACUGAGACACGGCCCAGACUCCUACGGGAGGCAGCAGUAGGGAAUCUUCCGCAAUGGACGAAAGUCUGACGGAGCAACGCCGCGUGAGUGAUGAAGGUUUUCGGAUCGUAAAGCUCUGUUGUUAGGGAAGAACAAGUACCGUUCGAAUAGGGCGGUACCUUGACGGUACCUAACCAGAAAGCCACGGCUAACUACGUGCCAGCAG